This 253-nucleotide ribosomal RNA is filed under the name uncultured bacterium. Its description in RNAcentral is "partial 16S ribosomal RNA". It matches the Rfam family "Bacterial small subunit ribosomal RNA", at positions 524 to 776 of the family's 1533-position model. The record is from RNAcentral.
UCCGUAGGGUGCGAGCGUUGUCCGGAAUUAUUGGGCGUAAAGGGCUCGUAGGCGGUUUGUCGCGUCGGGGGUGAAAUCCACUGGCUUAACUGGUGGCUUGCUUUCGAUACGGGCAGACUGGAGGUAUGCAGGGGAGAACGGAAUUCCCAGUGUAGCGGUGAAAUGCGUAGAUAUUGGGAGGAACACCAGUGGCGAAGGCGGCUCACUGGACCGGAACUGACGCUGAGGCGCGAAAGCGUGGGGAGCAAACGGG